GUGAGGAAUAUUGCGCAAUGAAGGCAACUCUGACGCAGCCAUGCCGCGUGCAGGAAGAAGGCGCUACGCGUUGUAAACUGCUUUUAACCGGGAAGAAACCCCAGGACGUGUCCUGGGUUGACGGUACCGGAGGAAUAAGCACCGGCUAACUUCGUGCCAGCAGCCGCGGUAAUACGAAGGGUGCAAGCGUUAUCCGGAUUCAUUGGGUUUAAAGGGUGCGUAGGCGGAGCGUUAAGUCAGUGGUGAAAUCCUGCAGCUUAACUGUAGACUUGCCAUUGAUACUGGCGCUCUUGAGUGCGCUUGAAGUGGGCGGAAUGUGCCGUGUAGCGGUGAAAUGCUUAGAUAUGGCACAGAACACCAAUUGCGAAGGCAGCUCACUAAGGCGAUACUGACGCUGAGGCACGAAAGCGUGGGGAUCGAACAGGAUUAGAAACCCGUGUAGUCC
This 445-nucleotide ribosomal RNA is filed under the name uncultured bacterium. RNAcentral describes it as "partial 16S ribosomal RNA". It matches the Rfam family "Bacterial small subunit ribosomal RNA", at positions 354 to 796 of the family's 1533-position model. The record is from RNAcentral.